UAUAUAUUAAUUGUUUAAUUUUAUUGAUUAAUAGUUAUUAAGUUCAAACUAAAAUCAAAUCUAAAUUACAAAAUCAAACAAAAAUCAAAACCGAGCGAUUUGAACUGAACCGAAUCGAAAUAAAGCGAUUCAAUUCAAUGCAAAUUUCAUCCAUUUUGGUUCGGUUCAGUUUCUAAAAUAUGUAAUUCGAUUUUUAUAAUUUAAUUCGGUUCGAUUUGAACCGAAUACUCA
This 231-nucleotide unclassified non-coding RNA is filed under the name Hevea brasiliensis (rubber tree). The record is from RNAcentral. Lineage: Eukaryota; Viridiplantae; Streptophyta; Magnoliopsida; Malpighiales; Euphorbiaceae.